GUCUACAGCCAUACCACCCAGAAGGUACCCAAUCUCAUCUGAUCUGGGAAACUAGGCAGGGUUGAGCUUGGUUAGUACUUGGAUGGGAGAAAUACAUGCUCAAGUAUUUUGGGGA
This 115-nucleotide ribosomal RNA is filed under the name Castor canadensis (American beaver). Lineage: Eukaryota; Metazoa; Chordata; Mammalia; Rodentia; Castoridae. The record is from RNAcentral.